GAUGAACGCUGGCGGCGUGCCUAAUACAUGCCAGUCGAGCGAACAGACGAGGAGCUUGCUCCUUCGACGUUAGCGGCGGACGGGUGAGUAACACGUAAGUAACCUACCUAUAAGACUGGGAUAACUUCGGGAAACCGGAGCUAAUACCGGAUAAGAUUUCGAACCGCAUGGUUCGAUAGUGAAAGAAGGCUUUGCUAUCACUUAUAGAUGGACCUGCGCCGUAUUAGCUAGUUGGUAAGGUAACGGAUUACCAAGGCAACGAUACGUAGCCGACAUGAGAGGGUGAUCGGCCACACUGGAACUGAGACACGGUCCAGACUCCUACGGGAGGCAGCAGUAGGGAAUCUUCCGCAAUGGGCGAAAGCCUGACGGAGCAACGCCGCGUGAGUGAUGAAGGUCUUCGGAUCGUAAAACUCUGUUAUUAGGGAAGAACAAACGUGUAAGUAACUGUGCACGUCUUGACGGUACCUAAUCAGAAAGCCACGGCUAACUACGUG
RNAcentral lists this ribosomal RNA (497 nucleotides) under uncultured bacterium. RNAcentral describes it as "partial 16S ribosomal RNA". It matches the Rfam family "Bacterial small subunit ribosomal RNA", at positions 28 to 507 of the family's 1533-position model. The record is from RNAcentral.